Molecule: ribosomal RNA, 502 nt
Filed under: uncultured bacterium
Lineage: Bacteria
Description: partial 16S ribosomal RNA
Rfam family: Bacterial small subunit ribosomal RNA
Source: RNAcentral
GAUUAACGCUGGCGGCGUGCCUAACACAUGCAAGUCGAGCGGCAGCGAGUUUUACACUGAAUUCUGGAAGCUUCUAGUUGAAAGAGAAGAUUUAUUCAAGAAUUUUGUGUAAAAUGUCGGCGAGCGGCGGACGGCUGAGUAGCGCGUGGGAACGUACCCCAAAGUGAGGGAUAACGCAUCGAAAGGUGUGCUAAUACCGCAUAUGGUCUUCGGAUUAAAGCCUUCGGGCGCUUUGGGAACGGCCUGCGUAAGAUUAGAUAGUUGGUGGGGUAAUGGCCUACCAAGUCGACGAUCUUUACCUGGUUUGAGAGGAUGAUCAGUCAGACUGGAACUGAGACACGGUCCAGACUCCUACGGGAGGCAGCAGUGAGGAAUCUUCCACAAUGGGCGAAAGCCUGAUGGAGCAACGCCGCGUGCAGGAUGAAGGCCUUCGGGUUGUAAACUGCUUUUAUAAGUGAGGAUUAUGACAGUAACUUAUGAAUAAGGAGCGGCUAACUACGUG